UAUUGAGAAAUCAUCUCUGAAUUUUCCCCCCAGUUUUACUGAGAUAUAAUUGACAUCACUGUUUAAGGUGUACAGCACAAUGGUUUGACUUACAUCUUUGAUGGUGUCUUUGUGGCAGAAGAGGUUUUAAUUUUAUUGGAGUCCAGUUUAUCCAUGUUUAGUUGACUGUGUAGAUGGCAAGGGUCGCAGUUUGUUUUUUCUUUGCAUGUGGAGCUCCAGUUCUGUUGCCUCCAUUUGUUGAGGAUUGGGCAGGUACAUCUGAGCAGUGCAGGGGGCACAAGCGUGGGGCUGCCCCGCCAGCCAGUCGGACCGCAUGUGGUUGAACAGACUGGUGGGCAUGCUGGUGCUUCAUGGUGAUAGGAUGUGCUGAUUACCAAGGGCCUCCGUCUCCGGUCGUUCUCAAUUAUUUAACUUAUGACUGUGCUAGGUCUUUGGUGCUGCACCUAAACUUUCUCUAGUUGCCAGGAGCAGGGCCACGCUUCCUUGUGGUGGGUGGGCUUCUCCUUGGGCGACUUCUCUUGUUGCAGCUGGCAGAAUCCGUAGUUGUGGCUCCGGGGCUUAGUUGCCCCGAGGAAUGUGGGAUCCUCCUCCAUCAGGGAUCGAACCGUGAUCGCCGUAUUGGGGAUCUCAACCAAUGGACCACCAGGAAGUCCUGGUCCACACUUUUUGAAGAGACUUCUGGGGCUGGACUUUUCCUGGCGGCUCCCACUGGUACUACAACUCCCAGCAUGCAUAGGGCGGGCCAGCCUGCCGCGGCGGGGGAGGUUCCCGGCCCGUGUGGGCCUUUGGCUGGGAGGGAAGGGCUUCGCCGCAGGUUCCGGGUGUUUGAGGUCAACUUCCCAAGGCUUUGGCGGCCUCGACGGCUGAACAGCGGGACGGCGAGCCCUACGACCUCCCCCACUCAGACACGCCUCCCGCCUCUGGUCUGGCCCCUUCUUUCAAUUUCCCGCGAGGAGUAAGUAACCCUUGAAGACGACCAACCGGCGCCUAGCAUUUUGCCAACCGGGCCAACCAGAAGCGCGGGUGAAAAGGCGGAGGUGGAAUCCCCGCCAAGCAGGGGACAGUCCGUUCUCCCGGAAAAGGUAGGCCGUCCUGACUGGAACCCCGCGAACAGCGAAGGAUUCUUGGCCCGGAGCAGAAGUGCACGAACCCUUUCUUCCUUGCUCAGUGGGGGCUUCAGAGGGGCCAGGCUUACCCUUCAGCAGCCCCCUUCAGGUGUCUGGGCCCAGCCUUGGCUAUCAUGGCUCACAAGACUCUGGGCUCUUCAGCCUCACACGUCAGCUGCCUGGACCUGUGGAGGGAAAAGAAUGACCAGCUAGUUCGACAGGCCAAGGUUGCUGAGGACUCAAGUCUGACUCUGAGGCGACAGCAGUUGGCUCGGGAUGCACUGGAGGGGCUCAGGGGACUCCUCUGUAGUCUGCGGGGACUCCCCGCGACUGUUUCUGUUCUCCCUUUGGAACUGACUGUCAUCUGCAACUUUAUUACCCUGAGGGCAAACCUGGCCCAGGGUUUCACUGAGGACAUGGCACAGGAUAUCCAGCAGGGCCUAGAGAGAGUGCUGGAGACGCAGGGGCAGCCAGAAGCCAGGCCGGAACACGGGCUCAGGGGGCUGUGGGACUCCGCCCUCCGUGUUUCCUCCCUCCUGCCGGAGCUGCUCCCUGCCUUUCACCACCUUGCCGGCCUGCAGGCUGCCCUCUGGCUGACCACGAACCGUCUUGGGGACCUGACCUUGCUGCUGCAGACCCUGACUGUUAGCCAGAGCAGGGCCUCUGAGGAUGUGCUGCUGCUUCUGAAAACUUGGAGACCCCCAGCUGAGGAGUCAGAUGCUCCGCUGACCCUGCAGGAUGCCCGAGGCUUGAGGGAUGUCCUUCUGACAGCAUUUGCCUAUCGUCAAGGCCUCCAGGAGCUGAUCACAGGGAGCUUGCCCAAGGCACUGAGCAGCCUGCAUGAAGCGGCCUCAGGUCUGUGCCCACGGUCUCUGUUGGUCCAGGUGUACACAGCCCUGGGAACCUGUCUUCGUAAGAUGGGCAGUCCGCAGAGAGCUCUGCUCUACUUGGUUGCAGCCCUGAAGGAGGGAUCAACCUGGGGUCCCCCGCUUCUGGAGGCCUCCAGGCUAUAUCAGCAACUGGGGAACAUAGCAGCGGAGAUUGAGAGUCUGGAGCUGCUGGUUGAGGCUUUGAGUAUCACUCGUAUCCCUGAAGCCCAUCAGCUUCUUAUUGAGGUAGAGUUAUUACUCCCACGACCUGACCCAGCCUCACCCCUUCACUGUGGCACACAGAGCCAGGCCAAGUACCUGCUAGCAAGCCGAUGCCUACAGACAGGAAGGGCAGCGGACGCUGCAGAACAUUACCUGGACCUGCUCGCCCUGUUGCUGGAUGGCUCAGAGCUAAAGUUCUCCCCACCACCUUGCCCCCCAGGGCCCUGUAUGCCUGAGUUGUUUUUGGAGGCAGCAGCAGCGUUGAUCCAGGCAGGCCGAGCCCAGGAUGCUUUGACAGUAUGUGAGGAGCUGCUUAGCCGCACAUCAUUUCUGCUUCCCAAGAGGCCUCGGCUGUGGGAAGAUGCCAGAAGAAGAACCAAAGAGUCACCACACUCUUCACCCUGGGUCUCUGCUACCCAUCUGCUUCAGGGCCAAGCUUGGGUGCAACUGGGGGCCCAAAAGGAGGCAAUUAGUGAAUAUAGCCGGUGUCUUGAGCUGCUCUUCCGGGCCACACCUAAGGAUGAAGAACAAGGUCCCCAGGGCCUGCUUCCAGCUGUGAGCAGGGGUGUACAUCAGAUAUGGCACUACAACAGCUUCGGACAGCUGCCCUGAUUAGUCGUGGACUGGAAUGGGUGGCCCUUGGCCAGGAUACCAAAGCCCUACAGGACUUCCUUCUCAGUGUGCAGAUGUGUCCAGGUAAUCAAGAUGCUUCCUAUCACCUGCUUCAGACUCUGAGGAGGCUGGAUCGGAGAGAUGAGGCCACUGCUCUCUGGCGGAGGCUGGAGGCCCAAACUGAGUUGCUACUGGAGAAUACUGCAUGGUCCCUCCCCCUGUACUUAGAAACCUGUUUGGGCUGGAUCCGUCCCCCUGACCGUGAAACCCUUCGUGAGGAAUUUCAGACAUCUGGAGACUUGUGACCUGUAGCUGCCAUGUUUCAAAGAACCAGAACUGGGGCCUCAGUGGGCCAUCUGUGGGGAGGGCUUUCUGCUAUCCCAUCCUUGGGAAAUGUGGCUGGAGCUGACCAUUCCAGUAUAUGUCUGGCAUUGGAGAGGUUGGUGGUAGUCCUGCAAAAUUUGGUCUGGUUACUGCUAUUCUGAUUCCAGAGAAGCCCUGCUUCCACCAACAAGGCAUUGACUUGCUCAUAGCACCUUUUAUCCUGUUUCCCUUUUCAUGUGUUGAGUAAAAUUUCAUAUCUA
Odocoileus virginianus texanus is the source of this 3393-nucleotide non-coding RNA. Lineage: Eukaryota; Metazoa; Chordata; Mammalia; Artiodactyla; Cervidae. The record is from RefSeq and is a predicted model, not a curated record.